RNAcentral lists this ribosomal RNA (422 nucleotides) under uncultured eukaryote. Its description in RNAcentral is "bacterial SSU rRNA". It matches the Rfam family "Eukaryotic small subunit ribosomal RNA", at positions 592 to 1018 of the family's 1831-position model. The record is from RNAcentral.
CAAUAGCGUAUAUUAAAGUUGUUGCGGUUAAAAAGCUCGUAGUUGGAUUUCUGUGGAGGACGGCCGGUCCGCAUUUUGUGCGUGUAUCUGGUACGGCCUUUGCAUCCUCUUGUGGAACGUUACGGUGCUUGAUUGCAUUGUGCGGAAUGCAAGACUUUUACUUUGAGGAAAUUAGAGUGUUCACGGCAGGCAUGCGCCUUGAAUAUAUUAGCAUGGAAUAAUAAUAUAGGCUCCUCGCCCUAUUUUGUUGGUUUCUAGGACCGAAGUAAUGAUUAAUAGGGACAGUUGGGGGCAUUUUUAUUCCAUUGUCAGAGGUGAAAUUCUUGGAUUAACGGAAGAAAAACUACUGCGAAAGCAUCUGCCAAGGAUGUUUUCAUUGAUCAAGAACGAAAGUUAGGGGAUCGAAGACGAUCAGAUACCAU